Molecule: long non-coding RNA, 382 nt
Filed under: Sorghum bicolor (sorghum)
Lineage: Eukaryota; Viridiplantae; Streptophyta; Magnoliopsida; Poales; Poaceae
Description: long non-coding RNA (SBIC_LNC003257)
Source: RNAcentral
CCACAACAUCCAUCAUCAAUCAUUAAAAUUGCUAAAAAUAUUUUCACUCACUGUCCCAAAUAUUGUUAUUCUCUCUCUCUAAAAAGAUUCAAUGCAGAAGAGACAUGGGUUAUGCAAAAAUAUUCGAGGAAAUAAAAAGGGGCAAGUGCCCGGAACCUCGAAAAAGAAAAAGAAAGAAAGUGAGACGAGAGGUAAAAAUGGACAAGUGUCCGAAGUAGAAUUAGGGGUACAAAGAUGCCCACUUGAGCGGAAAAAAUGGACAAGUGUCCGACAGUAGAAUUAGGGGUAUCUACUACCCACCUGAAAAAAAACAGAAGAAAAGAUAGCCCAUGAUCUCCCAAGGCAAAGAUCAGAGGAGAGGAGAGAUAGCAAUAUAAGGAGC